This 253-nucleotide ribosomal RNA is filed under the name uncultured bacterium. Its description in RNAcentral is "partial 16S ribosomal RNA". It matches the Rfam family "Bacterial small subunit ribosomal RNA", at positions 524 to 776 of the family's 1533-position model. The record is from RNAcentral.
UACGAAGGGUGCAAGCGUUACUCGGAAUUACUGGGCGUAAAGCGUGCGUAGGUGGUUCGUUAAGUCUGCCGUGAAAGCCCCGGGCUCAACCUGGGAAUUGCAUUCGAGACUGAAUAGCUAGGGUACGGUAGAGGGAAGCGGAAUUUCCGGUGUAGCGGUGAAAUGCGUAGAUAUCGGAAGGAACAUCAGUGGCGAAAGCGGCUUCCUGGACCAGUACCGACGUUCAGGCACGAAAGCGUGGGGAGCAAACAGG